Heterocephalus glaber (naked mole-rat) is the source of this 1271-nucleotide long non-coding RNA. RefSeq lists it as uncharacterized. NCBI's taxonomy places the organism in Eukaryota, Metazoa, Chordata, Mammalia, Rodentia, Bathyergidae. The record is from RefSeq and is a predicted model, not a curated record.
AUGGUUGCAUGUGGAGAGCUAACUGCACUAUAAGUAUUAAGAUGGACAACUUGGAUUUCCUAUGAAAGGGUUAAGUGAAAUAUUGUAGAGCUUGCUGCCCAGCUCUGAAGAAGUUAGGCAUAGGAGAAAGUGAUAAGAACAGCACAAGGACAUGGAGCUAGGGAAAGGAAAACACGGGACUGUCUCAAGGCCUGGGGAAUUUCCAGAUGUGCCUUAUGUAAGAUGUUUUCUAUUCUUGAGUGCUAUAAAAGAGAGCAAUAAAGUCAAUAAAGCAGCUCGGUCUCUGAGAGCCCUCCCGACUCUGUCUCUUUGUCUUUCUUUUUCUUCAUCCUCACUUCCCCAUUCAGGAACCUUUCGACAGGUGACGGCGGGCUCCGUCACAGGUGGCGCCCGAACAGGGACCUGAAUAGGGGGCAAAUUUGCAGUGAAGGACGCCGCGGCUUGUGGAUCCGGUAAAGGUGAGUAGCUUCUCUGCUACACACUCCUACCAUGAUGGACUAUGCUGCCACAAGGCCAAAAGUAAUGGAGCCAAAUGACCAGGAAGUGAAACCUCUGAAAUUACAGCUUUAACGACAUCAGACAUUCUAUUCUCCAAGAGGAGUUCACCUGGCAUUCUUGAUGAACUCCCAGGUAAAGGAGGAAAAUUUGAAGCUAAAAAAUCUCACUACUUACAAUGGACCAGACAAAGGCCAAUUUGAAUGAACAAAAGUUCAAUUACAGAAUUUCUCUACUUGCCCCCGAAGUAGUUGUCAUCUCUCCACCCCAGAGUAACCACAUUAUGUGAUUCCUCAAGGGGGAGGUUCUUAGAGGUCUGCAAGAACAAAUAGUGCCACAAUAAUUGAUGGUUCCUCCAAGAUUCCUGGACCUGCUAGGAAUCUGCAUCUGAAGUCACUCCAAGGGACCAGGUCCUCAGAACCCAGACCUUGAAGAAAGAGAUGUUCUGGGAUGCUGCCCACCAGGAGAAGACAAUAGAGGAAUUCUCAAAACUGGGUCCACAGCAUCUCUGAAGAGAGAGCAUGUGGAUGGUGUUACCUUCAUAUGGGGGACCCUAGAGGAUGUGUAUCACAGAAGAUCCACUACACUGCCGGCCCUUAGAGAUGAAAUGGAAAACGCAUGUGCAGCAAUCUCAACGACCAAGGUUACCCAAGCAGCAGUUCACCAUACUAAUAAAUGCCUGGAAGCUAAUGGCCAUCGCUUUUGUAAUAGUAGAGGCCAAAGCCUACUUGUAUUACUCCCAUGAUGUCUCAAUAAAUUUGGUAUUAAAAUAUUUA